Streptomyces sp. WAC00263 is the source of this 225-nucleotide non-coding RNA. The record is from Rfam. Lineage: Bacteria; Bacillati; Actinomycetota; Actinomycetes; Kitasatosporales; Streptomycetaceae.
ACACGAGAAGGGAGGUGGUUCGGCAGAUGUAUGAGAACCGGACGCGUGAGGUGGCUGCGGGCUAGCGGCCCGUCACCACAUCCAGUGCGGUGCCGGACCAGCGCGUGAACUGAGCGCGCAGCCGGCCCCAAUCCCAAGCAGUCACCCGACCCGCGAGCUCGCCGGUACGUCCGGCCGGCUCCUCCGCCGUGAGGCGAAGGAACCCGAGCUCGCGGGUCGUCUGCG